GGAUUAGAUACCCUGGUAGUCCACGCAGUAAACGAUGAGUGCUAGAUAUUGGGGCUUGACCUCAGUGUUGUAGCUAACGCGUUAAGCACUCCGCCUGGGGAGUACGGUCGCAAGAUUAAAACUCAAAGGAAUUGACGGGGACCCGCACAAGCGGUGGAACAUGUGGUUUAAUUCGAUGUUACGCGAAAAACCUUACCAGACCUUGACAUGCUAGUCGUAUGCCUAUGAAAGUAGGCGGUCAUUUAGUUGGACUAGCACAGGUGUUGCAUGGCUGUCGUCAGCUCGUGCCG
This 290-nucleotide ribosomal RNA is filed under the name uncultured bacterium. RNAcentral's name for it is "partial 16S ribosomal RNA". It matches the Rfam family "Bacterial small subunit ribosomal RNA", at positions 775 to 1067 of the family's 1533-position model. The record is from RNAcentral.